GUGUCAGCAGCCGCGGUAACACGUAGGAGACGAGCGUUAUCCGGAUUUACUGGGCGUAAAGCGCGGGUCGGUGGGGUCUUAAGUCAUGCGUGAAAGCUCUCGGCUUAACCGGGAGAGGUCGUGUGAAACUGGGGCUCUCAGAGGUAGGUAGAGGCAGAUGGAAUUCCGGGUGGAGUGGUGAAAUGCGUAGAGAUCCGGAGGAACACCAGUGGCGAAGGCGAUCUGCUAGGCCUGACCUGACACUCAGCCGCGACAGCAUGGGGAGCGAACGGGAUUAGAAACCCCGGUAGUCC
RNAcentral lists this ribosomal RNA (293 nucleotides) under uncultured bacterium. Its description in RNAcentral is "partial 16S ribosomal RNA". It matches the Rfam family "Bacterial small subunit ribosomal RNA", at positions 505 to 796 of the family's 1533-position model. The record is from RNAcentral.